GCACUCUACUUUGUGCAACGGUUUAGCACAUGCUCCCGGAAAGAGCAAGAUCUGGGUUCAAAUCCCGGCUGACGCA
Molecule: non-coding RNA, 76 nt
Organism: Parelaphostrongylus tenuis
Lineage: Eukaryota; Metazoa; Nematoda; Chromadorea; Rhabditida; Metastrongylidae
Source: the annotation of a GenBank genome assembly